CGAAGGAUAGUCUAAUCAGGAUCCCAGCUUUGGGGGCUGGGGGUGGGGGUGAAAGUCCUCCUCCUUUGA
This 69-nucleotide transfer RNA is filed under the name Lophiomus setigerus (blackmouth angler). Its description in RNAcentral is "tRNA-Pro". The record is from RNAcentral. Lineage: Eukaryota; Metazoa; Chordata; Actinopteri; Lophiiformes; Lophiidae.